Molecule: ribosomal RNA, 863 nt
Filed under: uncultured bacterium
Lineage: Bacteria
Description: bacterial SSU rRNA
Rfam family: Bacterial small subunit ribosomal RNA
Source: RNAcentral
UACACAUGCAGUCGACGGUAGCACAGAGGAGCUUGCUCCUUGGGUGACGAGUGGCGGACGGGUGAGUAAUGUCUGGGAAACUGCCCGAUGGAGGGGGAUAACUACUGGAAACGGUAGCUAAUACCGCAUAACGUCGCAAGACCAAAGAGGGGGACCUUCGGGCCUCUUGCCAUCGGAUGUGCCCAGAUGGGAUUAGCUAGUAGGUGGGGUAACGGCUCACCUAGGCGACGAUCCCUAGCUGGUCUGAGAGGAUGACCAGCCACACUGGAACUGAGACACGGUCCAGACUCCUACGGGAGGCAGCAGUGGGGAAUAUUGCACAAUGGGCGCAAGCCUGAUGCAGCCAUGCCGCGUGUAUGAAGAAGGCCUUCGGGUUGUAAAGUACUUUCAGCGAGGAGGAAGGCGUUGUGGUUAAUAACCGCAACGAUUGACGUUACUCGCAGAAGAAGCACCGGCUAACUCCGUGCCAGCGGCCGCGGUAAUACGGAGGGUGCAAGCGUUAAUCGGAAUUACUGGGCGUAAAGCGCACGCAGGCGGUCUGUCAAGUCGGAUGUGAAAUCCCCGGGCUCAACCUGGGAACUGCAUCCGAAACUGGCAGGCUAGAGUCUUGUAGAGGGGGGUAGAAUUCCAGGUGUAGCGGUGAAAUGCGUAGAGAUCUGGAGGAAUACCGGUGGCGAAAGCGGCCCCCUGGACGAAGACUGACGCUCAGUGCGAAAGCGUGGGGAGCAAACAGGAUUAGAUACCCUGGUAGUCCACGCCGUAACGAUGUCGACUUGGAGUUGUGCCCUUGAGCGUGCUUCCGGAGCUAACGCGUUAAGUCGACGCUGGGGAGUACGCGCAGUAAACUCAAUGAAUGACGGGGC